Molecule: unclassified non-coding RNA, 288 nt
Filed under: Debaryomyces sp.
Lineage: Eukaryota; Fungi; Ascomycota; Pichiomycetes; Serinales; Debaryomycetaceae
Also listed under: 3 other names
Description: partial contains 5.8S ribosomal RNA, internal transcribed spacer 2, and large subunit ribosomal RNA
Rfam family: 5.8S ribosomal RNA (bases 1-52)
Source: RNAcentral
AACGCACAUUGCGCCCUCUGGUAUUCCAGAGGGCAUGCCUGUUUGAGCGUCAUUUCUCUCUCAAACCUUCGGGUUUGGUAUUGAGUGAUACUCUUAGUUGAACUAGGCGUUUGCUUGAAAUGUAUUGGCAUGAGUGGUACUGGAUAGUGCUAUAUGACUUUCAAUGUAUUAGGUUUAUCCAACUCGUUGAAUAGUUUAAUGGUAUAUUUCUCGGUAUUCUAGGCUCGGCCUUACAAUAUAACAAACAAGUUUGACCUCAAAUCAGGUAGGAUUACCCGCUGAACUUAA